UGGUUUAAGCCUUUUGCAUGAUUUAAGAAACAACCUAUCCUUAAUGCAAAGCCAUUCACUUGAUCAAUUGAUCAAGAUGAAUUAGAUUUGGAUCAAAGAAGAUUAAGUCUCCCUAAUCAAUGCUAACUUAUCAACCUUCAACUCAUUGAUCAAAAAAGAAAAAAGAGAAAAAAGAAGAAGAAGGAGAUGAAUAAUGGAAAUAAAAAUGGCAAAACUUAAAAUGCAUUAAAUGAAGUACAAUGUAC
Molecule: long non-coding RNA, 245 nt
Filed under: Lathyrus oleraceus (garden pea)
Lineage: Eukaryota; Viridiplantae; Streptophyta; Magnoliopsida; Fabales; Fabaceae
Description: Pisum sativum (pea) long non-coding RNA (PSAT_LNC031330)
Source: RNAcentral